Molecule: ribosomal RNA, 298 nt
Filed under: uncultured bacterium
Lineage: Bacteria
Description: partial 16S ribosomal RNA
Rfam family: Bacterial small subunit ribosomal RNA
Source: RNAcentral
UCCGUGCCAGCAGCCGCGGAAUACGGAGGGUGCGAGCGUUAAUCGGAAUUACUGGGCGUAAAGCGCAUGCAGGUGGUUUGUUAAGUUCAGAUGUGAAAGACCCGGGGCGUCAACCUCCGGAAUAGCAUUUGAAACUAGGCAGACUAGAGUACUGUAGAGGGGGUAGGAAGUUUCAGGUGUAGCGGUGAAAUGCGUAGAGAUCUGAAGGAAUACCGGUGGCGAAGGCGGCCCCCUCGGACAGAUACUGACACUCAGAUGCGAAAGCGUGGGGAGCAAACAGGAUUAGAUACCCUGGUAG